RNAcentral lists this ribosomal RNA (799 nucleotides) under uncultured Glomus. Its description in RNAcentral is "SSU rRNA". It matches the Rfam family "Eukaryotic small subunit ribosomal RNA", at positions 314 to 1114 of the family's 1831-position model. RNAcentral also lists the same sequence under 1 other name. Lineage: Eukaryota; Fungi; Glomeromycota; Glomeromycetes; Glomerales; Glomeraceae. The record is from RNAcentral.
AUCAACUUUCGAUGGUAGGAUAGAGGCCUACCAUGGUGGUAACGGGUAACGGGGUGUUAGGGCACGACACCGGAGAGGGAGCCUGAGAAACGGCUACCACAUCCAAGGAUGGCAGCAGGCGCGCAAAUUACCCAAUCCCGACACGGGGAGGUAGUGACAAUAAAUAACAAUACGGGGUUCUUUAGGAUCUCGUAAUUGGAAUGAGUACAAUUUAAAUCUCUUAACGAGGAACAAUUGGAGGGCAAGUCUGGUGCCAGCAGCCGCGGUAAUUCCAGCUCCAAUAGCGUAUAUUAAAGUUGUUGCAGUUAAAAAGCUCGUAGUUGAAUUUCGGGGUUAGUAGGUUGGUCAUGCCUCUGGUAUGUACUGGUCUCACUGAUUCCUCCUUCCUUAUGAACCGUAAUGCCAUUAAUUUGGUGUUGCGGGGAAUUUGGACUGUUACUUUGAAAAAAUUAGAGUGUUUAAAGCAAGCUAACGCUUGAAUACAUUAGCAUGGAAUAAUGAAAUAGGACGUUCGAUCUUAUUUUGUUGGUUUCUAGGAUUGACGUAAUGAUUAAUAGGGAUAGUUGGGGGCAUUAGUAUUCAAUUGUCAGAGGUGAAAUUCUUGGAUUUAUUGAAGACUAACUACUGCGAAAGCAUUUGCCAAGGAUGUUUUCAUUAAUCAAGAACGAAAGUUAGGGGAUCGAAGACGAUCAGAUACCGUCGUAGUCUUAACCAUAAACUAUGCCGACUAGGGAUCGGAUGAUGUUAAUUUUUUAAUGACUCAUUCGGCGCCUUACGGGAAACCAAAGUGUUUGGGUUC